This 705-nucleotide long non-coding RNA is filed under the name Anser brachyrhynchus (Pink-footed goose). Its description in RNAcentral is "lncRNA (ENSABRG00000020086.1)". Lineage: Eukaryota; Metazoa; Chordata; Aves; Anseriformes; Anatidae. The record is from RNAcentral.
ACCCGCUGGGUGCACGGGACUUGUUCGCAGCUUGCUGGCGCGUGCCGGUUACAGCGUUCAGAGAGCUGACCCGGUGCUGCCUCCUUGACAUGAGCAGAGGGAAGCUGGCCUCCAGGACACAGAAGAAGUAAAGGAGAAGAGGUUUGUGUGGCAGGUGAAUGCAGCCGCCGUGCCCGUGCUGGCAGCGUCAAGGCAGUGGGAAGGGAAAGCUUCCCCUCUGUGGCUGUUGUGCCAAGAAGCAUCGUGUUCUCCCCACCAGCCGUGCUCUGAAAGGGUCUCUUCCGUUCAGAAGGGGACUUAGUGCAGGGCGGUCCUACUCCACAAACCUUGUGGAAGGAGCAGAAAGAGGAUCCCCUUGCUUUGAUAGAAAUGAGUGAAGUGCGACGUGUCACUGCGGUGAAAGCAGUCCAGGAUCUGCUGUUUGGGCUUCUGAGUCCAGGCAGGAAGAGGAGUUACUGUGCAGCCAGAUGGUUUCGUUUUUUCAGGAAGAUUAAUUACCUAGCAUCAACCGGCCUGGCCCUGGUAUCCAAGAAACAAGUACUUACGGCAACAGGUGGGUCCCUGGGAUCCCCGAGUUUCUGCAGUUUGCAACAGGCCUCUCUGGUAAGCAGAGUGGAGACCGUACUUCCCAGUGCAAUCCGUGCAGCGCUGAUUGCUGCUGCUGUGACCUUCUGCAAGAAAGUACCCAAGCAGCUGGGUGGGUAA